GGAGAAAUGGCUGAGUGGACUAAGGCACUCCCCUGCUAAGGGAGCGGCCUCUUCGGAGGCCCGAAGGUUCGAAUCCUUCUUUCUCCACCA
Molecule: transfer RNA, 90 nt
Filed under: Erwinia phage pEp_SNUABM_01
Lineage: Duplodnaviria; Heunggongvirae; Uroviricota; Caudoviricetes
Also listed under: 1 other name
Description: tRNA-Ser
Rfam family: tRNA
About the family: Transfer RNA (tRNA) molecules are approximately 80 nucleotides in length. Their secondary structure includes four short double-helical elements and three loops (D, anti-codon, and T loops).
Source: RNAcentral